GUCGUCAGGGAGUGAACAUCAGACAUCUCCUUCCCAAGCCUGUGUUCCUUCUACCAGCUAAGUGAAGGGCCUGCCAUGUGCAUGUUGCCAGGCACCACCCAAGGGCAGAGAAGUUAAGGACAUAAUAGGAAGCAGGCCAAUGUUUCUAUUUCACAUGGGACUUGACUGCCUAAAAAGAAGAGCGAGCAGCUAAAGCCCCGGCUUCCCAAUGGAUACCCAACAAUGUUACAUCUACAUGGAUCCAAAUGACCUAGUUCUACCUAACUGGAAGGACUAAAUGGAUUAGGGUUAUUUUUGAAGCCCCCAGACACCCAAAAUUGAGGGCUUUUUGAGGGUCAUAUAAAAUUAUAUAUGGCAUCAGUGCACAACUGGAUCCACAUGAAGCCAUUCGGCAGUCUACUGCAAGCUCAUUCUCAAAGUCUGCUCGCUGUUAAAAGGAUUCUUCUUAGUCCACACACUUCCUGCUUUGACCUUCUAAGAAUAAAAUAAUGGCGUUGGGAUUGUCUGAAGAGCCCUUACCUUCUGGAAAGGCAUUGUAAUCGUUCAAUUCCAAUGGACAGUAUGCGCUGGAAAACUGGCCUUCGCAUGUUGCACUCCAAUCAAUGAAACUGCCACAAAAAACAAGUGGUCUAAUCAGAAACAGGAUGUCAAGACAUCAAGUAAAGAAAAUGGAAAAUGAUUUUACUGCCUAGCAUCCUAAUCACUGUGAAUUCCCCAAUUUUGGAAAAUAAAAGAUGUACUUUCUCAAGUCACAGAAUCAAAGGCUUACUAAAUGCUGAUCACUAGUGACAUGCCAUCUGCAGGAUGGACGGCUGGACUAGGAGCACACUUGUUUUUAACUAUGCUUGUUAAGUCUAACUAGAGACAGAAUAGAGAGCCGUGGCUUUAUCAGCACUGUGAAAGAACAGCUGGAAUACCUUUAAGUGUCUUUGUGCACAUCUGAAGGACUUAAACAUGUUCCAUUAAAAACGUCCACUCAGAGCAAGACCAGCAUUCAUCUUAGACAAGCAUAACUAUAAAGACUAUACUUCAUUAUACUUUGAUCCCUAUUGCAACCUAGAUUCUUAUUAUAGAAAUGAGAUAGGAAAUACUGUUGUAAUAAGCUGAA
Molecule: long non-coding RNA, 1108 nt
Organism: Homo sapiens (human)
Lineage: Eukaryota; Metazoa; Chordata; Mammalia; Primates; Hominidae
Source: Ensembl